AAGAAACCAUUGGAGAGGAUUUAUCGUCAGGGUUCUACUAUCCAGCAAACUGUUGAGGUUUUGCAGCAUACAUGACAAAGUUUGACUCACUUUGAUCAGAAGAGGGCUUAAGCAGGAAAAUCAUGUUCAGCCCCAGGAGGACUUCAGUGCCACUGUUGAAAAUAACUUAAUGUUCCAGACGAUGGAUAAUGACAUAGACAAAGGUUUUGAAAUCAGUGCACUGAACUUCUGCUAAUUUGCCCCAAGACUUUGAUCCUGCAAGCCCUCGAAUGCUUUUACCAGAAGAGGGCCGUGUUUCUGGGAAGGAAGAUGUGUUUUUCUACCCUGCCCAGUCACUUGAGAAGGAGGGGCAAGCUGAUGCAGUCUUCUGCCUCUGGCUCUAGUUAGUGGCACAACUUGUGUGUGUGUGUGCGCAUGCACGUGCACACAUUUAAUGUCACCUCACUACUGACCUGCUAGAUUGCUACAUGAUAGAAACUGAUAUCUGGAGAUUUCAAAUGUUUGCAUCAGCUGUGGCUCUGGCCUAUGAUAUUUUAGCUGUUGAAAAACAAGAAAAUGCUUCAGUAUUCUUCAAG
This is a long non-coding RNA of Dromaius novaehollandiae (emu), 575 nucleotides long. RefSeq lists it as uncharacterized. The transcript is spliced from 4 exons. NCBI's taxonomy places the organism in Eukaryota, Metazoa, Chordata, Aves, Casuariiformes, Dromaiidae. The record is from RefSeq and is a predicted model, not a curated record.